GGGCCGGUAGAUCAGCCUGGAAGAUCGCUUCCUUGGCAUGGAAGAGGCCGCGAGUUCGAAUCUCGCCCGGUCCACCA
Molecule: transfer RNA, 77 nt
Filed under: Promethearchaeati archaeon
Lineage: Archaea; Promethearchaeati
Also listed under: 2 other names
Description: Asgard group archaeon (marine sediment metagenome) tRNA-Ala
Rfam family: tRNA
About the family: Transfer RNA (tRNA) molecules are approximately 80 nucleotides in length.
Source: RNAcentral